RNAcentral lists this ribosomal RNA (549 nucleotides) under uncultured bacterium. RNAcentral's name for it is "partial 16S ribosomal RNA". It matches the Rfam family "Bacterial small subunit ribosomal RNA", at positions 355 to 902 of the family's 1533-position model. The record is from RNAcentral.
UGAGGAAUAUUGGUCAAUGGGCGAGAGCCUGAACCAGCCAAAUCGCGUGAAGGAAGACUGCCUUAUGGGUUGUAAACUUCUUUUGUACAGGAAUAAAAAGGAGGACGCGUCCUCCAUUGCAUGUACUGUACGAAUAAGCAUCGGCUAACUCCGUGCCAGCAGCCGCGGUAAUACGGAGGAUGCGAGCGUUAUCCGGAUUUAUUGGGUUUAAAGGGUGCGCAGGCGGGCUUUUAAGUCAGCGGUGAAAUCUCGACGCUUAACGUCGAAACUGCCGUUGAAACUGGGAGUCUUGAGUAUAGAUGAAGUAGGCGGAAUUCGUUGUGUAGCGGUGACAUGCUUAGAUAUAACGAGGAACUCCGAUUGCGUAGGCAGCUUACUAAGCUAUAACUGACGCUCAAGCACGAAAGCGUGGGGAUCAAAACAGGAUUAGAUACCCUGGUAGUCCACGCCGUAAAACGAUGAUUACUAGUUGUAUGCGAUAUACCGUAUGUGACUAAGCGAAAGCGAUAAGUAAUCCACCUGGGGAGUACGCCGGCAACGGUGAAACUC